This is a non-coding RNA of Chlorocebus sabaeus (green monkey), 1259 nucleotides long. The record is from RefSeq and is a predicted model, not a curated record. Lineage: Eukaryota; Metazoa; Chordata; Mammalia; Primates; Cercopithecidae.
UCAAUUGACACUCAAACCAACUCAAAAUUACUAUAAUGAUAAAGUGAACUUAUCUGCUUAUGGAGCAAAUACUCUAUAGAGCAAUACUCUAGAGGUAAGUAGGUAAGUGGGACCAAGAACAGGUGCUAUAGUCACAGAUCCAGCUCCAUUCGCUUUCUGAUUCUCCCAGAAAUGCUCUCCUCUGGGUGUUGGGUUUCUCCCUAGACUGUUGGGGAAAUGGCCACAGAAAUUUGAGAUUUCCCAUCCAUGUAUAACCAAGGCCUGCUUUCCAGUGGUUCUCUUGCAAGUAUAAAGAAACUUCUCCCCUAGCUUCCCCAGUUCCCAUUGAUCUUGCUCUUGCAUUUUUUAUUGGCUUGACAUACCUAUUCUGAACCAACUUCUCUGGUCAGUAAAAUUCCAUAUGCCGGUUACAUCAGACCUGGGUUUCUGAACUGGGCAUUAGCAUGGAAAGCAGAGAUUGGGCUUAAUCUCAUUAGGAGGGGAUUCAUUGAUCUCUCUUGUGUCAUGAACUGCAUCACUACUAACCAAAGAGGCUGAGAUCCGGAAUGGGUAUCAGGAGGGGAAAGUAUCUGACACAAAAGUCAAAAGAGAGAGCUUCAGAAUGAAUGGGUAAUCAUUCAUGCCAAAAAUUAUCGUUGAGAUCAAGUAGGAUAGAUAUAAAGAAACCAUUAAAUGUGUCAGUCACUGGGAUAAAUGGUCAUUGAUGACCUUUGGGUGAGACUUUUUGGAGAAGCUCUGGGGCAACCCUUGCAGAACACUCUUUGAAGGAAUCCAGUGGCACAGAGAGAGAGAUAAGGGAUGUUAAAUCAGUUGCAAUUCAAUGAAGCCUGUAAAUGUACUUGAGAAUAUUAUUUUACUUUGUUAAUAAAUUCAUAACAACUCAUUCCUUUCUAGGUUGAAAGGAGGAAAAUUAAUCCUGCAUGUGAAAACAAUAUGACAAUUUGUGAACAAAAGGAAGAGGUUGUAAACACAGAGAGAAUGAUAAAUAUACAAGGCAUGGUGAAAGGAGAUUGAGGCUCAAAGAAGUUCAGCUCACCCAAAGUCAUAACUAACUAGCAAGUGGCAAAGCCAGGAUUCAAACUCUGUGCUUCCUUUUUAGAGGAGAGAGCAGUGCCUGCUUAGCCCUUCAGCAAAUUUCCUUCAAGUGACAUUCACAGAAGCAUGUAAGUCACUCCCAGAUGACAAGGUAGGCACUGUCUUCCACUCCUUGCAAUUCUGUGCAGGAGGAGGUACAUAGAUUGACCACCAACAUGAGGCCG